GAUGAACGCUGGCGGCGUGCUUAACACAUGCAAGUCGAACGGUGAAGCAGGAGCUUGCUCUUGUGGAUCAGUGUCGAACGGGUGAGUAACACGAGAGCAACCUGCCCCUGACUCUGGGAUAAGCGCUGGAAACGGCGUCUAAUACUGGAUAUGUGAUGUGACCGCAUGGUCUGCAUCUGGAAAGAAUUUCGGUUGGGGAUGGGCUCGCGGCCUAUCAGCUUGUUGGUGAGGUAAUGGCUCACCAAGGCGUCGACGGGUAGCCGGCCUGAGAGGGUGACCGGCCACACUGGGACUGAGACACGGCCCAGACUCCUACGGGAGGCAGCAGUGGGGAAUAUUGCACAAUGGGCGGAAGCCUGAUGCAGCAACGCCGCGUGAGGGAUGACGGCCUUCGGGUUGUAAACCUCUUUUAGCAGGGAAGAAGCGAAAGUGACGGUACCUGCAGAAAAAGCACCGGCUAACCACGUGCCAGCCGCCGCGGUAA
RNAcentral lists this ribosomal RNA (484 nucleotides) under uncultured bacterium. RNAcentral's name for it is "partial 16S ribosomal RNA". It matches the Rfam family "Bacterial small subunit ribosomal RNA", at positions 28 to 523 of the family's 1533-position model. The record is from RNAcentral.